This 898-nucleotide ribosomal RNA is filed under the name uncultured bacterium. RNAcentral describes it as "bacterial SSU rRNA". It matches the Rfam family "Bacterial small subunit ribosomal RNA", at positions 8 to 901 of the family's 1533-position model. The record is from RNAcentral.
AGAGUUUGAUCCUGGCUCAGAAUGAACGCUGGCGGCGCGCCUAAUACAUGCAAGUCGAGCGAGAAGACGUAGCAAUACGUUUGUAAAGCGGCGAACGGGUGAGGAAUACAUGGGUAACCUACCCUUGAGUGGGGAAUAACUAGCCGAAAGGUUAGCUAAUACCGCGUACGCUUCUUGGACUUCGGUUCAGGGAGGAAAGCGCUACCGUGGGUAGCGCGCUCUUGGAUGGGCUCAUGUCCUAUCAGCUUGUUGGUGAGGUAACGGCUCACCAAGGCUUCGACGGGUAGCUGGUCUGAGAGGACGAUCAGCCACACUGGCACUGCGACACGGGCCAGACUCCUACGGGAGGCAGCAGUAAGGAAUAUUGCGCAAUGGGCGAAAGCCUGACGCAGCGACGCCGCGUGGGGGAUGAAGGUCUUCGGAUUGUAAACCCCUUUCGGGAGGGAAGAUGGAAUGGGGUAACCCAUUCGGACGGUACCUCCAGAAGCAGCCACGGCUAACUUCGUGCCAGCAGCCGCGGUAAUACGGAGGUGGCAAGCGUUAUUCGGAUUUACUGGGCGUACAGGGAGCGUAGGCGGUUCGGUAAGCCCUUUGUGAAAUCUCCAGGCUUAACCUGGAAAAGUCGGAGGGGACUGCCGGGCUAGAGGACGGGAGAGGAGCGCGGAAUUCCCGGUGUAGCGGUGAAAUGCGUAGAGAUCGGGAGGAAGGCCGGUGGCGAAGGCGGCGCUCUGGAACGUUUCUGACGCGGAGGCUCGAAAGCGUGGGGAGCAAACAGGAUUAGAUACCCUGGUAGUCCACGCCUUAAACUAUGAAUACUAAGUGUCGGCGGGUUACCGCCGGUGCCGCAGCUGACGCAUUAAGUAUUCCGCCUGGGAAGUACGGCCGCAAGGUUGAAACU